Molecule: non-coding RNA, 22 nt
Filed under: Arabidopsis thaliana (thale cress)
Lineage: Eukaryota; Viridiplantae; Streptophyta; Magnoliopsida; Brassicales; Brassicaceae
Source: RNAcentral
GAGAUUCGUCUUCAGCCUCUUG